AUGGCGGCGGCGCUGGAGACGAUGAGGGCGUUCUGGGACUCGCAGUGCAACAACGAGGAGAACUGGGCGGUCAACUAUGUUGACAACCUUGGUUCCUUUGCUAGUGAAUUGCUUACUUUAGUUACUUACCCUCACUAA
Molecule: ribosomal RNA, 138 nt
Filed under: Triticum aestivum (bread wheat)
Lineage: Eukaryota; Viridiplantae; Streptophyta; Magnoliopsida; Poales; Poaceae
Description: partial small subunit ribosomal RNA
Source: RNAcentral